This is a long non-coding RNA of Pangasianodon hypophthalmus (striped catfish), 982 nucleotides long. RefSeq lists it as uncharacterized. Lineage: Eukaryota; Metazoa; Chordata; Actinopteri; Siluriformes; Pangasiidae. The record is from RefSeq and is a predicted model, not a curated record. The transcript is spliced from 3 exons.
GUUCACCUCAGACAUGCCGUAAUGACCUGUGGUCAUGGUGUCCAUCUCGCUGUAGCUGCUGCUCAUCAUCAUGUGGCCCACAUGAGACAUCCCACAUGUGCAGGGCAGCUGGAGGCGAGUGGACAGGUAGUUCACAGCUGCGUACUCGAGGACAGAGAGGAAGACGAAGACGAAGCUGACCCACAGGUAGAUGUCUACGGCUUUGAUGUAGGACACUCGGGGCAUGGAGGCAUUUACACCCGUGAUGAUGGUGGACAUGGUGAGCACCGUGGUGAUGCCUGAGGAAAUAAAUAAAUAAAACAAAGGUAUUGGGUGAAAUAUAUUUUUUGAAAAUAUACUUGGUGAACUAUGGACGUAAUGUAUUCUAGCCAUAUUUAGCGCAUGUUAAACAGAUUGGUGGUAAAAUGGGCAAAUGUUUAGGUAAGAGCCUGAUAUUGUAACACGAUUGUAGAUUGUAGAUUGUAUGAUGAUUGCAACUGCAAACACAGGAAGUCACUCAUUCACAACAUAAGUGUUGUAAAAAAGGACAUCAAAUCUCAAAGUGUGUCACACCAAGAGGAACUCUGGCAGGGACAGCGCGCCGGUCGAUCCAGAAGGACACCCAGGACAGCAUGACCAUCAGCGUAGCAGGAAAGUAGGUCUGCAGCAGGAAGAAGAAAAUGUGACGUCUCAGGGUGAACGUGAUGUACAGACGGUUGUACCAACCUGGAAAAGUUGCAACUGCUUUAUUCCUCAGUACCUUUUGGAUUAAUCUUGUUCCACAUUAACACAUUAAGCAGUACCUGUGCUACUGUAGAAGGCCAGUUUUGUGGUGGUGUGAAACUCCUGAAUGAGGAACUGAGAGAGUGAGAUCUUGUCAUCUGUCUUCAGAGAGUCGUUCCCUUUCUUCCAGUACAGCAUCAGAUCAUCGUCAGUGUACGCAUCUAUAAAGAAGCCAGAAUCAUCCAGAAAGAAAAGCUUAUCACUUCAUUAAGUUGACCAC